This 497-nucleotide ribosomal RNA is filed under the name uncultured bacterium. RNAcentral describes it as "partial 16S ribosomal RNA". It matches the Rfam family "Bacterial small subunit ribosomal RNA", at positions 28 to 507 of the family's 1533-position model. The record is from RNAcentral.
GAUGAACGCUGGCGGCGUGCCUAAUACAUGCAAGUCGAGCGAACAGACGAGGAGCUUGCUCCUCUGACGUUAGCGGCGGACGGGUGAGUAACACGUGGAUAACCUACCUAUAAGACUGGGAUAACUUCGGGAAACCGGAGCUAAUACCGGAUAAUAUAUUGAACCGCAUGGUUCAAUAGUGAAAGACGGUUUUGCGGUCACUUAUAGAUUGAUCCGCGCCUCAUUAGCUAGUUGGUAAGGUAACGGCUUACCAAGGCAACUAUGCGUAGCCGACCUGAGAGGGUGAUUGGCCACACUGGAACUGAGACACGGUCCAGACUCUUACGGUAGGCAGCAGUAGGGAAUCUUCCGCAAUGGGCGAAAGCCUGACGGAGCAACGCCGCGUGAGUGAUGAAGGUCUUCGGAUGGGAAAACUCUGUUAUUAUGGAAGUACAAAUGUGUAAGUAACUAUGCACGUCUUGACGGUACCGAAUCAGAAAGCCACGGCUAACUACGUG